This is a non-coding RNA of Pelobates cultripes (western spadefoot toad), 240 nucleotides long. The record is from the annotation of a GenBank genome assembly. Lineage: Eukaryota; Metazoa; Chordata; Amphibia; Anura; Pelobatidae.
AUAUUUUGUGAUUUUGAUAUUUGUAUCUGUUUUGCUUAGUGCAUUGUUUUACUGCUGUUUGUGUGUGUUUACUAUUGGUGUUUUCAUUGUUUGUUUUUGUGCUGUUGAAUGUGUAUGUUCUUUUGUGUGUAUUUAUUGUUGUUUUGAUUGCUUUGUGUGUUUUUUGAUUGCAUGUUUAUCUCCCUAGGCUGUACGUUUUGAGCACGUCUUGCAUCUGUUAACACGCUAUGUGACGGUCAG